CCUUCGCAAACAGUCAUAAAAUUAUAUAAGUAGCACUCCCAUUGAUCAACAAAUGAUUUAAAAGUAAAGAACUGCUAGUAUCUUGUGGACUCCCGUAGUUUUUCUGGAUGAAGUUUAAUUAAAGAGUGUACCAGAUUGUUUGCUCUUCAGAAAAUAGGAGCCAACUCAAUUACUCAUAGUCAUAGACAAACUAGAUAUAUGCAUGGAGCAAAAAUAAAUAAAUAAAUAAAUAAAAUAAGAUAAAAUAAAAUUCGAUUGCUAAAAUACGAGAAGGUCCUUCCGGUGAAUCCAAUCGAAUCCGCAAUAAUGAUAAGGACAAAAUCACUGAUUCAUAGAAAUUAUUUAACUGUGCUUAAAUAUUACAAAUUAUUUAACUGCGCUUAAAUAUAAGGCUGAAGAGAAGAAAUUAGACCUGAGUUUCUUCUUCGUGCAGAUAGGGAGAGCGAGAAUCGACACGGCGUUUCCAUAAAUAAAGCGGAAUUAACCAUAAAAGAAGCAUCAUCAUCAGUAAUCCCACGACUAUAUCCUCCAUUUUCCCAGUAAUAUUCGAUUGCUAAAAUACGAGAAGGUCCUUCCGGUGAAUCCAAUCGAAUCCGCAAUAAUGAUAAGGCCAAAAUCACUGAUUCAUAAACAAUAAAAUCGAUC
Molecule: long non-coding RNA, 645 nt
Filed under: Olea europaea (common olive)
Lineage: Eukaryota; Viridiplantae; Streptophyta; Magnoliopsida; Lamiales; Oleaceae
Description: long non-coding RNA (OEUR_LNC002018)
Source: RNAcentral